This 816-nucleotide ribosomal RNA is filed under the name Neisseria meningitidis. RNAcentral describes it as "bacterial SSU rRNA". It matches the Rfam family "Bacterial small subunit ribosomal RNA", at positions 60 to 862 of the family's 1533-position model. Lineage: Bacteria; Pseudomonadati; Pseudomonadota; Betaproteobacteria; Neisseriales; Neisseriaceae. The record is from RNAcentral.
AGUUCGGGAAGGCAGCGGGGUAGUGCUUGCACUACUGCCGGCGAGUGGCGAACGGGUGAGUAACAUAUCGGAACGUACCGGGCAGUGGGGGAUAACUGAUCGAAAGAUCAGCUAAUACCGCAUAUUUUCUGAGGAAGAAAGCAGGGGACCAUUUGGCCUUGCGCUAUCCGAGCGGCCGAUAUCUGAUUAGCUUGUUGGCGGGGUAAGGGCCCACCAAGGCGACGAUCAGUAGCGGGUCUGAGAGGACGAUCCGCCACACUGGGACUGAGACACGGCCCAGACUCCUACGGGAGGCAGCAGUGGGGAAUUUUGGACAAUGGGCGCAAGCCUGAUCCAGCCAUGCCGCGUGUCUGAAGAAGGCCUUCGGGUUGUAAAGGACUUUUGUCGGGGAAGAAAAGGCUGUUGCUAAUAUCAGCGGCUGAUGACGGUACCCGAAGAAUAAGCACCGGCUAACUACGUGCCAGCAGCCGCGGUAAUACGUAGGGUGCGAGCGUUAAUCGGAAUUACUGGGCGUAAAGCGGGCGCAGACGGUUACUUAAGCAGGAUGUGAAAUCCCCGGGCUCAACCCGGGAAUUGCGUUCUGAACUGGGUGGCUAGAGUGUGUCAGAGGGAGGUAGAAUUCCACGUGUAGCAGUGAAAUGCGUAGAGAUGUGGAGGAAUACCGAUGGCGAAGGCAGCCUCCUGGGAUAACACUGACGUUCAUGCCCGAAAGCGUGGGUAGCAAACAGGAUUAGAUACCCUGGUAGUCCACGCCCUAAACGAUGUCGAUUAGCUGUUGGGCAGCCUGACUGCUUGGCUACCGAAGCUAACGCGUGA